This 74-nucleotide transfer RNA is filed under the name Sphyraena putnamae (sawtooth barracuda). RNAcentral describes it as "tRNA-Val". It matches the Rfam family "tRNA". From Rfam's summary of the family: Transfer RNA (tRNA) molecules are approximately 80 nucleotides in length. Their secondary structure includes four short double-helical elements and three loops (D, anti-codon, and T loops). Lineage: Eukaryota; Metazoa; Chordata; Actinopteri; Sphyraenidae. The record is from RNAcentral.
CAGAGUGUAGCUUAGCAGAGACUAGCGUCUCCCUUACACCGAGAAGACAUUCGUGCGAGUCGAAUCGCUCUGAC